GCACUGCUGAAUAGUCCCAUAAUAGGACGAAACGGCCGUCCAAUGC
RNAcentral lists this non-coding RNA (46 nucleotides) under Schistosoma curassoni. Lineage: Eukaryota; Metazoa; Platyhelminthes; Trematoda; Strigeidida; Schistosomatidae. The record is from RNAcentral.